This 484-nucleotide ribosomal RNA is filed under the name uncultured bacterium. RNAcentral describes it as "partial 16S ribosomal RNA". It matches the Rfam family "Bacterial small subunit ribosomal RNA", at positions 28 to 523 of the family's 1533-position model. The record is from RNAcentral.
GACGAACGCUGGCGGCGUGCUUAACACAUGCAAGUCGAACGGAAAGGCCCUGCUUUUGUGGGGUGCUCGAGUGGCGAACGGGUGAGUAACACGUGAGUAACCUGCCCUUGACUUUGGGAUAACUUCAGGAAACUGGGGCUAAUACCGGAUAGGAGCUCCUGCUGCAUGGUGGGGGUUGGAAAGUUUCGGCGGUUGGGGAUGGACUCGCGGCUUAUCAGCUUGUUGGUGGGGUAGUGGCUUACCAAGGCUUUGACGGGUAGCCGGCCUGAGAGGGUGACCGGCCACAGUGGGAGUGAGAUACGGCCCAGAAUCCUACGGGAGGCAGCAGUGGGGAAUAUUGCACAAUGGGCGGAAGCCUGAUGCAGCAACGCCGCGUGCGGGAUGACGGCCUUCGGGUUGUAAACCGCUUUCGCCUGUGACGAAGCGUGAGUGACGGUAAUGGGUAAAGAAGCACCGGCUAACUACGUGCCAGCAGCCGCAGUAA